This 280-nucleotide ribosomal RNA is filed under the name unidentified marine bacterioplankton. RNAcentral describes it as "partial 16S ribosomal RNA". It matches the Rfam family "Bacterial small subunit ribosomal RNA", at positions 56 to 339 of the family's 1533-position model. The record is from RNAcentral. RNAcentral also lists the same sequence under 1 other name.
UGCAAGUCGAACGAUGAAGUUCCUUCGGGAAUGGACUAGUGGCGAACGGGUGAGGAACACGUGAGAAACCUGCCUUUCAUUCUGGGAUAACACCGGGAAACCGGUGCUAAUACCGGAUACUCCAUCUUGGCGGCAUCGCCGAGCUGGGAAAAAUUUUGAUGAAAGAUGGUCUCGCGGCCUAUCAGCUAGUUGGUGAGGUAAAGGCUCACCAAGGCGACGACGGGUAGCCGGCCUGAGAGGGCGACCGGCCACACUGGGACUGAGACACGGCCCAGACUCC